AGGUAAUAAAUAUUUAAAUUUUAAACCUAUUUAUUUUGGCGGCAUUUCAUUUUACCAGAGGAAUUUGUUCUUUAAUCGAUAUUCCACGAUAAUUUUCACUUAAUUAUAAAAUUUAUAUACCGCCAUCUCAUCCGAGUUUUUUUAUAAAUUAACUCUUAAUAAAACUUUAAAUUUAGGUCAAGGUGUAAUCUACAAUUAAGAAUGAAUGAGUUAUUUUAAAAAAGAUUUAUAAUAUUAAAUUAAAAAAUUUUCUAAAAUAAAUUUGAAAGUAAAUUUAUAAUAAUAUUUUAAUAUGAAUUAAAACCUAAAUGUGC
Molecule: ribosomal RNA, 314 nt
Filed under: Toxops sp. CG278
Lineage: Eukaryota; Metazoa; Arthropoda; Arachnida; Araneae; Toxopidae
Description: partial 12S ribosomal RNA
Source: RNAcentral